AUGACGAACAGCGCCGUCAAACUCGACUUGCUCCGCGCCAAUGCCACUGCGAAACUCCAAGCUCAAGAUGCCAAGAAGUGGAACAAUGACCUCGCCUUCUUGAUGGGCGGCGCUGACAUGCUCCAGAGCGGCGAUGAGAAGCUCAAGGCGUGGUUCUUGGCCCAGCGCGGUGUAACAGCCUGGAUUUUGGCCCUUUUCUUUUUCUUUGGAUUUAUUUGGUUUUUGCUCUGUUUUUCUUUUUGGAGUGGUUCAGUUGCCUUGCCACCUGGGAAAUCAUCCUCAUUCCUCUUCCCAAGUGGCUCAUCAUUCUCAAAACCUUGCAUCGUGUCACUUCACUCCUUGACCAAACCCUGA
RNAcentral lists this ribosomal RNA (354 nucleotides) under Triticum aestivum (bread wheat). RNAcentral's name for it is "partial small subunit ribosomal RNA". The record is from RNAcentral. Lineage: Eukaryota; Viridiplantae; Streptophyta; Magnoliopsida; Poales; Poaceae.